RNAcentral lists this ribosomal RNA (253 nucleotides) under uncultured bacterium. RNAcentral describes it as "partial 16S ribosomal RNA". It matches the Rfam family "Bacterial small subunit ribosomal RNA", at positions 524 to 776 of the family's 1533-position model. The record is from RNAcentral.
UACGAAGGGGGCUAGCGUUGCUCGGAAUUACUGGGCGUAAAGGGCGCGUAGGCGGAUGUCUUUGUCGGGCGUGAAAUUCCAGGGCUUAACCUUGGGGCUGCGUUCGAGACGGGUUGUCUUGAGUGGGGAAGAGGGUCGUGGAAUUCCCAGUGUAGAGGUGAAAUUCGUAGAUAUUGGGAAGAACACCAGUGGCGAAGGCGACUUACUGGACACAUAUUGACGCUGAGGUGCGAAAGCGUGGGGAGCAAACAGG